RNAcentral lists this transfer RNA (71 nucleotides) under Trichonephila inaurata madagascariensis. It matches the Rfam family "tRNA". Rfam says of the family: Transfer RNA (tRNA) molecules are approximately 80 nucleotides in length. Their secondary structure includes four short double-helical elements and three loops (D, anti-codon, and T loops). Further hydrogen bonds mediate the characteristic L-shaped molecular structure. tRNAs have two regions of fundamental functional importance: the anti-codon, which is responsible for specific mRNA codon recognition, and the 3' end, to which the tRNAs corresponding amino acid is attached (by aminoacyl-tRNA synthetases). tRNAs cope with the degeneracy of the genetic code in two manners: having more than one tRNA (with a specific anti-codon) for a particular amino acid; and 'wobble' base-pairing, i.e. permitting non-standard base-pairing at the 3rd anti-codon position. Lineage: Eukaryota; Metazoa; Arthropoda; Arachnida; Araneae; Nephilidae. The record is from Rfam by way of RNAcentral.
GGGGGUAUAGCUCAGUAGUAGAGCAUUCGACUGCAGAUCGAGUAGUCCCCGUUCAAACCCGGGAGUCUUCU